RNAcentral lists this long non-coding RNA (1575 nucleotides) under Pan troglodytes (chimpanzee). RNAcentral's name for it is "lincRNA". Lineage: Eukaryota; Metazoa; Chordata; Mammalia; Primates; Hominidae. The record is from RNAcentral.
GAUGCGAAACGCCGCGCUUGCCGGAGAUAGCAUUGAGGGCCCUUCCGCGGCCCGGCGUUUCGUCUCUUGGGACGAUUUUGUGCGUUCCCUCGGUCCCCGUGGGGCCCAUAGUUCUCACUUCUGCCACCCCAGAGUCGCCGCGCUUCACUAGACCCACUCCCUCCACUGUCCCGGAGGCCCACAGACAUUCCCGCAUUCUGAGGCUCGCUCCCGUCCCGUGCCGCUGUUACCGGCCUCCGGCCCCGGCUCAUACAAGCAGGAGCACAUCGCUCUUUUAUGAAAGCCCUUCAACAUUUAACGUUUAAAUGCGAGGGCCGACCUGUGACAGACCUGGUUGGGAGUGCACGUCGACUAUGGUCUUCCUCGCCUCGGGCUUCCUUGGAGAGGCCGCCGGCUGGUCUGAGAUUUGGGUCCAGUUACAGUAAAUCCAGUCAACGCGAGUGUGUUAUUCCCCAGCUAUGCCUGUCUGCCUGGAUGCAGCCUCGCGGGGGACAGUGGGUUGAUGUUUUGCCGUGGGAGCGCCACGGACGGGAGAGGGAGUGAUAAUGAUUGUCAACCUAAUAACAGGCUCUCUAACUGAAAAUGAUAUUUCUUUGGGAAUAGGGCGUUGGCGAAUAUGCGUGCCAUAGUAAACGAUUUGCGCAUUCAGGAAAGUAAUGGUUUUUAAAGAAAAAAUGAAGACGUAGAUAAUGGCUUGGAAAUAAUUAACCUUGGCUACAAAGAACAGUAACAAGUGUACUCCCGGCCGGGCGCGGUGGCUCAAGCCUGUAAUCCCAGCACUUUGGGAGGCCGAGGCGGGCGGAUCACCUGGAGUCAGGAGUUCAAGACCAGCCUGACCAACAUGGAGAAACCCCGUCUCUACUAAAAAUACAAAAUUAGCCAGGGUGGUGGCGCAUGCCUGUAAUCCUAGCUACUAGGGAGGCUGAGGCAGGAGAAUCGCUUGAACCCGGGAGGCAGAGGUUGCGGUGAGCCGAGAUCGCGCCAUUGCACUCAAGUCUGCGCAAAAAGAGCGAAACUCCGUCUCAAAAAAAAAAAAGAAAGAAAGAAAUUGUACUUUUAGGUCAGGCGCAGUGGCUCACGCCUGUAAUCCCAGCACUUUGGGAGGCCGAGGCGGGUGGAACACGAGGUCAAGAGAUCGAGACCAUCCUGGCCGACAUGGUGAAACCCUGUCUCCACUACAAAUACAAAAGUUAGCCGGGUGUAGUGGUGCGCACUUGUAGUCCCAGCUACUCAGGAGGCUGAGGCAGGAGAAUCACUUAAACCCAGGAGGCGGAGGUUGCUGUGAGCUGAGAUUGUGCCUGUGCAGUUCACCCUGGCAACAGAGUGAGAUUCCAUCUCAAAAAAAUAAAAAGAAAUUGUCCUUUUGCAAAAUACGGCAAUGAAUAAGUUUAAAAGGGGAAAAUACAAGGUAAAAUCAAUAAUACUAUGACUAUCCCAGUUUGCAUAUUGGUUUUGACCCAUGAACCUAGGCUUAAAGGAAAGCAAUUAAAAAGAAAAAAAUUAGAAAACAAAAAUAGAAAAAUAGAGAUUAAAGGAAGCCAAUUGAAUAAAUAAAAUGGCCAUAGAAAUUACAUG